Molecule: ribosomal RNA, 406 nt
Filed under: uncultured bacterium
Lineage: Bacteria
Description: partial 16S ribosomal RNA
Rfam family: Bacterial small subunit ribosomal RNA
Source: RNAcentral
AUUGAACGCUGGCGGCAGGCCUAACACAUGCAAGUCGAGCGAGCGGCGGACGGGUGAGUAAUGUAUGGAGAUCUGCGUGAUGUAGGGGGAUAACUGGUGUAAACGGUAGCUAAUAGUGCAUACCAUCAGAUGAGCCCAGAUGUGAUUAGCUAGUAGGUGGGGUAACGGCUCACCUAGGCGACGAUCCCUAGCUGGGCUGAGAGGAUGAGCAGCCACACUGGGAUUGAGACACGGCCCAGACUCCUACGGGAGGCAUCAGUGGGGAAUAGUGGACAAUGGGCGCAAGCCUGAUCCAGCCAUGCCGCGUGUAUGAAGAAGGCCUUCGGGUUGUAAAGUACUUUCAUUCGGGAGGCGGUAUCUACAGAAGAAGCACCGGCUAACUACGUGCCAGCAGCCGCGGUAAUUC